GACAACGCUGGCGGCGUGCCUAACACAUGCAAGUCGAGCGGAGAUGAUGUGAGGAAGUUUUCGGAUGGAAUCACAUUAUUUUAGCGGCGGACGGGUGAGUAACGCGUGAGCGACCAACCUUGCACAGGGGGAUAACGGACCGAAAGGUUCACUAAUACCGCAUGAGACCACGGUGUUGCAUGACACAGGGGUCAAAGGAGCAAUCCGGUGCAAGACGGGCUCGCGUCCGAUUAGGUAGUUGGAGGGGUAACGGCCCACCAAGCCUAUGAUCGGUAGCCGACCUGAGAGGGUGAUCGGCCACAUUGGAACUGAGAUACGGUCCAAACUCCUACGGGAGGCAGCAGUGGGGAAUAUUGGGCAAUGGGGGAAACCCUGACCCAGCAACGCCGCGUGAAGGAAGAAGGUUUUCGGAUUGUAAACUUCUGUCCUUGGUGAAGAGAAGAAGACGGUAGCCAAGGAGGAAGCCCCGGCUAACUACGUG
This 481-nucleotide ribosomal RNA is filed under the name uncultured bacterium. RNAcentral describes it as "bacterial SSU rRNA". It matches the Rfam family "Bacterial small subunit ribosomal RNA", at positions 32 to 507 of the family's 1533-position model. The record is from RNAcentral.